GGGCCCGCACAAGCGGUGGAGUAUGUGGUUUAAUUCGAUGCAACGCGAAGAACCUUACCAGGGUUUGACAUCCUGCGAAUCUCUUGGAAACGAGAGAGUGCCUUCGGGAACGCAGUGACAGGUGGUGCAUGGCUGUCGUCAGCUCGUGUCGUGAGAUGUUGGGUUAAGUCCCGCAACGAGCGCAACCCUCGUCCUAUGUUGCCAGCACGUAAUGGUGGGAACUCAUGGGAUACUGCCGGGGUCAACUCGGAGGAAGGUGGGGAUGACGUCAAAUCAUCAUGCCCCUUAUGUCUUGGGCUUCACGCAUGCUACAAUGGCCGGUACAGAGGGCUGCAAUACCGCAAGGUGGAGCGAAUCCCAAAAAGCCGGUCUCAGUUCGGAUUGAGGUCUGCAACUCGACCUCAUG
RNAcentral lists this ribosomal RNA (406 nucleotides) under uncultured bacterium. Its description in RNAcentral is "bacterial SSU rRNA". It matches the Rfam family "Bacterial small subunit ribosomal RNA", at positions 917 to 1322 of the family's 1533-position model. The record is from RNAcentral.